RNAcentral lists this ribosomal RNA (282 nucleotides) under Pachycheles haigae. Its description in RNAcentral is "partial 12S ribosomal RNA". The record is from RNAcentral. Lineage: Eukaryota; Metazoa; Arthropoda; Malacostraca; Decapoda; Porcellanidae.
UGUUUAAUUUACUUAGGGGAACCUGUUUUAUAAUCGAUAAACCACGAAAAAUCUUACUUAUUUAAAAUUUUGUAUACCGUUAUUAUUAGAUAAUUUUAAAAAAACUAAAUAUUGAAAUUUAAAUUUAAAAUAUAUUAGAUCAAGGUGCAGACAAUAAAUAAGAAAAAAUGGGUUACAAUAAAUCUUGUUUAAUACGGAUAUUAUAAUUGAAAAAAUAAUUGAAGGAGGACUUGUUUGUAAUUUUGUUUUAAUAAGUCAAAAUGAAAUAAACACUUAAAACAU